Molecule: ribosomal RNA, 496 nt
Filed under: uncultured bacterium
Lineage: Bacteria
Description: partial 16S ribosomal RNA
Rfam family: Bacterial small subunit ribosomal RNA
Source: RNAcentral
AUGAACGCUGGCGGCGUGCCUAAUACAUGCAAGUCGAGCGAACAGAUGAGGAGCUUGCUCCUCUGACGUUAGCGGCGGACGGGUGAGUAACACGUGGAUAACCUACCUAUAAGACUGGGAUAACUUCGGGAAACCGGAGCUAAUACCGGAUAAUAUAUUGAACCGCAUGGUUCAAUAGUGAAAGACGGUUUUGCUGUCACUUAUAGAUGGAUCCGCGCCGCAUUAGCUAGUUGGUAAGGUAACGGCUUACCAAGGCAACGAUGCGUAGCCGACCUGAGAGGGUGAUCGGCCACACUGGAACUGAGACACGGUCCAGACUCCUACGGGAGGCAGCAGUAGGGAAUCUUCCGCAAUGGGCGAAGGCCUGACGGAGCAACGCCGCAUGAGUGAUGAAGGUCUUCGGAUCGUAAAACUCUGUUAUUAGGGAAGAACAAAUGUGUAAGUAACUAUGCACGUCUUGACGGUACCUAAUCAGAAAGCCACGGCUAACUACGUG